This 253-nucleotide ribosomal RNA is filed under the name uncultured Acidobacteriota bacterium. RNAcentral describes it as "uncultured Acidobacteria bacterium partial 16S ribosomal RNA". It matches the Rfam family "Bacterial small subunit ribosomal RNA", at positions 524 to 776 of the family's 1533-position model. The record is from RNAcentral. Lineage: Bacteria; Pseudomonadati; Acidobacteriota.
UACGGAGGGGGCCAGCGUUGUUCGGAAUCAUUGGGCGUAAAGGGCGCGUAGGCGGCCUGGUAAGUCGGGCGUGAAAUCCCGCGGCUCAACCGCGGAAUUGCGCUCGAAACUGCUUGGCUCGAGUCCCGGAGAGGGUAGCGGAAUUCCCAGUGUAGCGGUGAAAUGCGUAGAUAUUGGGAGGAACACCAGUGGCGAAGGCGGCUACCUGGACGGGAACUGACGUUGAGGCGCGAAAGCGUGGGUAGCAAACAGG